This is a long non-coding RNA of Bos taurus (domestic cattle), 887 nucleotides long. NCBI's taxonomy places the organism in Eukaryota, Metazoa, Chordata, Mammalia, Artiodactyla, Bovidae. The record is from Ensembl.
UCUACAUCUUAUAUCCUACAAUGUUGUUUCUUUCAGAUACUGUGCACAAAAUAUUAUAAACUUCUCACAUAUGAAGAAAUCUUACUUUUUAUUAAAAAAAACAACAAAAACUCCCCAUAAUUCUCAUCAGGCCAGUGGUAUAAUGUCAGUGUCCUUUGUCCAGUACGUCAGAAUCAUAAACGUAGUAAAACAUGAAAUAAUUGUUGACCCAGGAGUUGAAAGCAUGGACUUUCACUUCUCAUUCCCACAUUUUUAAAAAGGUACUGACACCUCCAUUUGUAAAGAAGACCCUGAAGAGUUCAGAGAGAAGACAUUACUGGAAAUGUGUUUUGCUAGAAGAAUUGUGUAUACCGCCCUGGCUCUGGAGGAUGCUGAAAGAGGAAGACACAGAAGCAGGACGACCCUGAGAGAUUAAGCCUCUUAAUCGUGAAACAGGUAGCUUCUCUGACAUUCUGGGUGUUUGAAUGCUCAUUUCUUUGAUCCUUGUGGUGUGGAAAAUGCCCCACAGAUUGGAGGUCACCUGCACUGGGCCUGGACACCCACAGGCGUGUGUGCAUUCCAGGCAGAUUCUUUACCUUCUGCGCCACUAGGGAAGCCCCCUCAGGGGUGGAUAUCCAGGUGCAAAUGGAAAAUACCCGAUUGACCAAGAGAUGCGCUCUUAAUAUAUUCUCACUUGGAAUAUAUUAAAAGGGAUGUUUCUACUUUAGAACCCAAAUAGGGCUUUUCGUUGAUUUGAGUGAGUGAAACUUUGCAUUAUUAGGUCAGCUACAUGGAACCGAUCAUUGGCUCUGGGGGCUGGAAGGAGCCCAGAAACCCUCCAGUCAAACUUUACCCGUUCUAGAAUUGAAAAGACACAGGGAGAUCAAGUGACUUGCUCACGGCCACUC